This is a long non-coding RNA of Macaca mulatta (Rhesus monkey), 4565 nucleotides long. Lineage: Eukaryota; Metazoa; Chordata; Mammalia; Primates; Cercopithecidae. The record is from Ensembl.
AUGCAUGGUGCAGGGACAACUGUGCUUUGGAAUCAGGCUGGUGGAAACAUCUUCCAGAGCAGACAGCUCCUGGGAUGCUGGGGAAGAAAAUAUCAGAAGAUCAUACCAAGAGGUACAUCCAGGGUAUGUAUAGACCCUUUGACGAAUCUAAACUCCAUUGUUUAGAGGCAAAUGAUAAAUGAUUCUAUUACACAUAAUUGUAGGUGACUCAGUGGUCACUUAUAGUUCACUUCCUGUUAGUAUUUCGGUACUAAUAGCUUGAAGAGCCUAGAACAUUACCCCAUUAAAUACUCUUCAUACUCAACGUGUUUUGUCUUUUUCAAGACAAAACACGUGAUCACUAUUGCUUGUCAUAUGUUUCAUCCAAGUUAGAUUGUGUGUGUUUCAGUAUAAUGCAUAUCAAUUUUUAUAGAGCCAGUGAAUUUUAAGGCAUUUAUUCUUUGGAAUACGUUGAACUGGAUGUAUGAUGUACUAAACAGAACACAGAACUUACAAAACAUUCCUUCCUUCCAAAGCAUUUAUGGCAAUCAAAGUCUUCUAUAUCACUGAGAAGAUGUGAAAAUCACAAUGUGGGCAAAUUCAGCCAACCAUAACUCAGCAGCCUCUCACACAGCUGCUGGAGUUAAAAACCCAAAUUCAGUAACUAAGUUCCAGUUACUGAACUUUACAAGCCCAAAGUGUGAUUUAUAAAGCAAUGCAUAAAUUAAAAAGGAGAAUACUUUCUUGCUGGUGGCUGAAAAUUGACAUAUUUAUCCAAAAAAUCCACUAGUCUGAGAAAAUAUGGUACAGACAGGAAUUUUGAAUAUGUGUAUAUAGGAAAGAGACACAAAUGCAUUUAGAAGAUUUUGACCUGUCUCAAACCUAACUUCUGUCUAGGGUUCAUUCAGAAGCAUUCCUGAUAUGGUGUGUCAUGAUUAUUGCUGACGUUUUAAGCUUGGAAGUCAUUGCUUCUACUCACAUGACAAGAAGGAAUCUGCUGAAGAGUGGAGCAAGGUGGUGGAAUACAGGACUGCAUCAUUCAUUCUCCACCCUGUAGGAACACCAAAUUUUAACAACUGUCUGCAAAGAGAAAAUUUGAUUACAAGAAUCAAAACAUCUAACAACCUAAUUUUAAAAUGGGCAAAAGAUCUGAAUAGAUCUUUUAUAUGACCUGAAUAGAUCAAUUUGUUUGUCAAAAGAAAACAUACAAAUUGCAAAUAGGUGCCUGAAAAGGUGCUCAACAUCAUUGACCAUCAGAGAAAUGCAAAUCAAUACUACCAUGAGAUAGCAUCUCACCCCAGUUAAAAUGGCUUUUAUCAAGGUGACUACAGACAACAAAUGCUGGCAAAGUGGGGAGAAAGGAAGCCACGUAUGUUGAUGGUGGGAAUGUAAGUUAGUACAACCACUAUGGAGAAGAGUUUGGAGGUUCCUCUAAAACUUAAAAAUAGAGCUACCAUAUGAUCCAGCAACCUCACUGAUGGGUAUAUACCCCAAAAGAAAGGGAAUCAGUCCAUGAAAGAGCCCUCUGGACUCCCAUGUUUGUUGCAGCACUGUUAAUAAUAGCCAAGAUUUAGAAGCACCCUAAGUGUCCAUCAACAGAUGAAUGGAUAAAGAAAAUGGGCUACUAUACACAAUGGAGUACUAUUCAGCUGUAAAAAAGAAUGAGAUCUUGUAAUUUGCAACAACAUGAUGUAACUGUCGUUGAGUUAAGAGUAAUAAGUCAGGCACAGAAAGACACAUAUCGCAUGUUCUCACUUGUUUGUGGGAUCUAAAUAUCAGAACUAUUGAACACAUGAACAGAGAGAGUAGAAGGAUGGUUACCAGAAGCUGGGAAGAAUAGUGGGUGGUUGUGGGGUGGGGGAUGGUUGGGGAAGGUGGAGAAGGUUAAUGGGUGCAAAAAAAAAGUUAGAAAGAUUAAAUAAGACCCAGUAUUUGAUACCACAACAAGGUGACUACAGUCAAUAAUAAUUUAAUUGUAUAUUUUAAAAUAACUAAAAGAGAAUAACUGGAUUGUUUGUAACACAAAGGAUAAAUACUUGAGAGAUGGAGACCCAAUUUUUCAUGAUAUGUAUUACUCAUUGCAUGCCUGUGUCAAAAAAUCUCAUGUACCCCAGAAAUAUAUACACUGACUGUGUACAUACAAAUAUUAAAAAUAAAUUUAAAAAGAGGGAAUCUUCACAAAUGGAAACUCAUUAGCUCUUCUUAGAUCAGUAAGAGAAGUAAGAUCACAGAACAAACCACUUCCCCACAAAAUUGGAGAGACCUGUCAAUACAGAAAAUCACAGCUUACUAAAGCAGAAAUCUGGGAGCAGAAUCCACUGUGUGAAUUGCUACAAGGGGGUAGAAUCCUGAACUGUAGAUGAGCUGCUGGAGGCUCCGUGAGAAAAGCCUGAGAGAGAAAAUGCCAGGGAGACCCAAUCAUGGGGAAACUCCUGCCCUUGUAUAUGUUUACCUCCAAGAGCUGGGCUAAAUCUUCAUGGGGAAGAUUGGAGGAACACCUUUCUGCUUCUGGCAUGGAAAGAGAAAAAGUAAUCAUUUGAAACACGCCAGAGCACUCUCUGCCAUCAAAAGAAGCUAUUUCACUAUUGCCUAGUGUGCUGGAGUUUAUCAGAGCCUAACUGACAUGGGAGAAGAGAAAUACACAAGUCCAGCCUCCUCUAGCCUUCCUGUUUUCCCUAGAGGACUUAAAUAACUCUAUAGAUCAAUUGGACCUAACUGACAUAUACGAGCACUUCACCCAACGACAGCAGAUACACAUUUUCUCAAGUGCACAUGGAACAUUCUCCAGGAUAGACCAUGUGUUAGGCCACACAACAAGGCUUGAUAAAUCUAAAAUUAUUGAAAUCACACAGUGUCUUUUCUGAUCACAAUGGAAUGGGAAUGAGGCUAUAAAGCUGUAAGAGGAAAAAAAUUGGAAAAUCUACACAUAUGUGGAAAUUGAACAACACAUUUAAUUUAACCAAUGUGUUAAAGAAGAAAUCUCAAGGGAAAUUAGAAAAUACUUUCAAACAAAUGAAAAUGAAAAUACAAUAAACCAAAACUUUUGAAAUGCAGCUAAAAUUGUGUUAUAAGGAGACAUAGCUGUAACUUCAUGCCUUCAAAAAGAACAACUAUAUUAAAUCACCACUUUAACUUCAUACCUUAAAAGAUUAGAAAAAUAAAAGCAAACUAAACCCAAAUCUAGCAGAAGGAAGGAAAUAAUAAUGAUUACAAUGGCAAUUUAAAAAGAGAAUGGGCCAGCUGCAGUGGCUCACACCUGUAAUCCCAGCACUUUGGAAGGCUGAGGCAGGCAGAUCACUUAAACCUAGGAGUUGGAGACCAGCUUGGGCAACCUGGGAAAUCCUGUCUCUACAAAAAUAAAUAAAUUUAAAAAAUAUGAAAAUUAGCUAGGUGUGGUGGUGCAUGCCUGUAAUCCCAGCUACUCAGGAGGCUGAGGUGAAAGAUUACUUGAGCCUGGGAGGUCACGGCUACAAUGAGCCAAGAUUGUGCCACUGCACUCCAGCCUGGGUUACAAAGUGAGACCCUAUCUCAAAAAUAAGUAAAUAAAUGAGAACAGACAAAUAAGAGAAAAAAAUCAAGAGCCUCACAAGUUGAUUUUUAAAGGAUUAACAAAAUUGACAAACCGUUAGAUAUAUUAAGUAAAAUAUGACUCAAAUCACUAAAAUCAGAAAUAAAAGACAGUAACUACUGAUUUUACCGAAAUAAAGUUUUCCGAAGUAACAUAAUAAACAUAUGUAUACCACCAAAUUGGUUAACCUAGAUGAAAUGGACAAAUUCCAAUAAACACACUUGAAUCAUGAAGAAAUAGAAAUCUUAAAUAGACCUGUAACUAGUAUGGAAAUUGAAUCAGUAACCAAAAACCUGCCAACAAAGUAAAGUCCUGGCCCAGACGGCUGCAUUGGUGAGUUCUAGCAAACAUUAAAGAAAAGUUAACACCAUCUCUUUUCAACUCUGCUGAAAAAUUAAAGAGAAGGGAAUAUUUUCCAGUUACUUCUACAAGGCCUGCAUUUCCCUCAAAUUAAAACCUGAGAAAGAUACAAGUGAAGAAAAUUGUAAAUCAGUUUAUCUUAGGAAUACCAAUACAAAACCCUAAAAGUAAAACUCCUUGCAAAGUGAAUUCAGCAGCAUUUUCAAAAUGUUAUACACCAUAAAAUUGUUACAUAAUACAUUACAUUUACAAAAUGUAGGGGAAAAAUUACAUUAUUAUUUUAAUUGAUGUGGACAAAGAAUUUGACAAAAUUCAGUAGCCUUUACUGGUACAGUCAAUAAACAAGAAAUAGAAGCUCACUUCCUCAGUGUGACAAAGAUCAUACAUGAAAACUUACAACUAAUAGCACACUCUGUGGUAAAAGACUGAAAACUUUUUCUCUUAGAUUAGAAACAAGACAAGUACACCUGCUUUCACUACUUCCAUUCAACAUUGUAUUGGGAGUUCAAGUCUUACAAAUCAGGAAAGAUAAAGAAAUAAAAACCAUCCAUAUUGAAAAAGAAGAUGUAAAAUUAUGUGUUACAGAUGACAUAAUCUUAUAUGCAGAAAAUCCUAAAAAUUAAGCAAAAAUGAGUUAAAACUAAUAAAUUUGGCAAAG